UAGCGGAUAACACCAAUGGGAGCACUAAAUGAGGUAUCAUACAGGAGGAAUAAGGUUGUCAUUUCAGAAGGGGAAAGAGAGGGAGCUGAGAGGGAUAGCAUUCUUCUGUUGUUCUAAUCAUUUUGCAGCCCUUUACUCUGUUCGAUUAUGUACUGUCAGUUUAUAGUGUUUCCGUGGACAUUUUACUUUGUUUAACCAUUAUUUUGAUUUUCCUUUUCCUAUAUUUUUUCGAUUAUUAUGUCAUCUGUCCAUAUUGCUAAAUGUCCUGGUAUCCUUGUUCCAUUGAAAUACUCUUUUUUCUUGAUCAGUUACUGUGGAUCCCGGAUUGAAGAUUGCACAGAGAUCUGAAGAUGGAACUGUGUGCUUUCAAGGGCCUAAGGAAAUAAUUAAGGAAUUAUUCUCAAAGGUGGAGCUUUCAGUUUCUUCCUAUGACAAUGCUUGGGUCGCAAUGGUCCCCUCGCCUAGUUCCCCUCAGUACCCUUAUUGGAGAAUCAGCUCCCUGAUGGUUCAUGGGGUCUUCCACAUUCUGAGUCCAUGCUUAUUAAUGAUGCCUUGUCCUCCACAUUGGCAUGUGCAUGCGCUUGUACUCUUUUUUUUUUAACGUUGGAAUGUUGGUGAAGAACAUGUUGAAAGGGGAAUUUAACUUUGCAUCGGCAACUAAUGAGAGCCAACAUUCUCCAAUUGGCUUUAAUAUCAUAUUUCCUGGGAUGACUGAUAAUGCUGGAGACAUUGGUUUAAAUAUUCCUCUUAGCCCAUCAAUUCUUGAUUCUUUACAUUGCAAGAGACAUUUGGAGCUCAAAAGGUGAAUACUUUUAAUCUUCCCUCACUUCUAUUCAAUGUUGGGCCUUUGUGGUUCUUGCAAGAAAUUACCUUUGAAAAUUAAAAUUUUCCAAAUCUUGUGGAGCAUAAUAUAAUGCUUAGGCUCUGAAAUUUAGGAGUUCAGACUUUCAGUUUACUCAAUUGACUUUCAUAAUUUUUCAAAGAAAGAGGGU
Molecule: long non-coding RNA, 992 nt
Organism: Macadamia integrifolia
Lineage: Eukaryota; Viridiplantae; Streptophyta; Magnoliopsida; Proteales; Proteaceae
Exons: 3
Source: RefSeq, a predicted model, not a curated record